GAUGAACGCUGGCGGCGUGCCUAAUACAUGCAAGUCGAGCGAACGGACGAGAAGCUUGCUCCUCUGAUGUUAGCGGCGGACGGGUGAGUAACACGUGGAUAACCUACCUAUAAGACUGGGAUAACUUCGGGAAACCGGAGCUAAUACCGGAUGAUAUUUUGAACCGCAUGGUUCAAAAGUGAAAGACGGUCUUGCUGUCACUUAUAGAUGGUUCCGCGCUGCAUUAGCUAGUUGGUAAGGUAACGGCUUACCAAGGCAACGAUGCAUAGCCGACCUGAGAGGAUGAUCGGCCACACUGGAACUGAGACACGGUCCAGACUCCUACGGGAGGCAGCAGUAGGGAAUCUUCCGCAAUGGGCGAAAGCCUGACGGAGCAACGCCGCGUGAGUGAUGAAGGUCUUCGGAUCGUAAAACUCUGUUAUUAGGGAAGAACAUAUGUGUAAGUAACUGUGCACAUCUUGACGGUACCUAAUCAGAAAGCCACGGCUAACUACGUG
This 497-nucleotide ribosomal RNA is filed under the name uncultured bacterium. RNAcentral describes it as "partial 16S ribosomal RNA". It matches the Rfam family "Bacterial small subunit ribosomal RNA", at positions 28 to 507 of the family's 1533-position model. The record is from RNAcentral.